Long non-coding RNA from Myotis brandtii (Brandt's bat), 1002 nucleotides. RefSeq lists it as uncharacterized. The record is from RefSeq and is a predicted model, not a curated record. The transcript is spliced from 3 exons. NCBI's taxonomy places the organism in Eukaryota, Metazoa, Chordata, Mammalia, Chiroptera, Vespertilionidae.
AGAGAGGAGAGGAGAGGAGAAGAAAGGAGAGGAGAGGAGGGGAGAGAUUUGGACACAUGGAGUUGGUUGCUGUCCAGUGGACGUGUGUGGAGCUGCACUGCGGUUUGGGGAACUAAGGAGCCUGCGGGGAAGGGACAGGGGCCCCCAAGUCUCCUCUAAGGGUAAGGUGAUGCUGUCAAUUAGCUGCUGCUGGAGCAUCGGAUUGGGGGCGUGAAGGUGUUGCCCAGUAGGCAAGGUCCCCACUUAGUGUCCCCAGGUGCCAGCAGGCCAGCGCGGCGGUGGCUGCCGAGGUGUCGGGGAGGAGCCGGCUCUCCAGGGAGUGGGAAGAAGAAGCCACAGAACCCGGGCCCUGGGCUGAGCUCAUGUCUGACCACCUCCCUCCCAUUACUGCUCCAAAGGCCGAAUGUCUCUCUUUGUUCCUUUGCUUCAAGGGCCUCGAUACCAGCAGUGACUCCGAGAGGCGAGGAAAGCAAGCUACAGGGAGUUGGUAGGGUUCCCAAGGCCCCGCAGGUGGAGGAGCAGAAUGCAAAUCCAGGAGCGCCUGGCGCUGCUGGCUUUGCCUUGUUCCCAGAGAUGCUUUGAGCGAUCUGCAGCUUUGAGCCCUUGAAGAGCGGUGAGCAAUCGUUAACCAGCAGGCACAUACCUCAAACGGCCAGAGAUCAGGCCAGAGAUCAUCGUGUGCGAAGAGGCCCUGGUGAGCAGAAGUUGGACCCUUUCAAACACACGGACCCUGUCUCUCAGGCCAAACGCCAUUCAGGGCCCUCGCCCUCGUGCGAGCGUGGGCACCCCUCAGUCCUGCUCCCUGAGCUGACCUUGCAUGUCGCCUCCCGUCUUUCCUCCAUGCCACCCCUCGCGAGUGUCGGCAUCUCUGUUCUGAUGAAAGUCCGCGGGCCCUCCUUCCUAACAUAACAAGCGAACAUUUUCCUGCUUCUCCCUGGACGGAGCCCUGAGCAGCACUGCCCUGCCCCCGGCCCAGGCCGGGUGUGGGUCUGUGCGGAUCUC